GUGAAGAUGUUUCAUACUCCCUUGCAGGUAACCAUAGCUGUGUGCCAAACGCAGAGGCCUCUUUUCCAGACAACAACUUUAUCCUCCAUCUCACUGCUUUGGAAGAUAUCCAGCCUGGAGAGGAAAUCUGCAUUAGUUACCUAGACUGUUGCCAGAGGGACCGCAGCCGGCACAGCCGCCAAAAGAUUCUCAGGGAGAACUACCUGUUCGUGUGUUCCUGCCCCAAGUGCCUAGCGCAAGCUGAUGACCCCGACAUCACGUCCGAGGAAGAAGAAGAGGAGGAGGAGGAUGACGCUGAGCUGGAAGGGGAAGCAGAGGAUGCAGAGCUGGAGGAUGAGAUGACGGACGUGUGAAAUGAGAACUUUGUCUCCGCCCCUUUCCAUCAUGUCCAAUCACAGACCAAACUGUUCAACUCUCUUCCACUGCCAUUUCUAGUCACUCACUUGAGCUGUUCCCAGUCGGAGCAUUGUGAUUGGUUGAGCCAGUUACCGGCGGAACACUCAUUAUCCGUCAUUUGUUGUGUUGCACUUGGAAUGUUUCAUUUGCCCCAGCUUGUGGGGGGUGGACCUCCUACUUCUUUAUGAGCCCCCAUACUGUAUGCCACGUGACCCCACUAUGCUGGUCUGCAUGUCACUGCCCAACCAUAUUCCUUAUGUGCCGCAUACCCACUGUAGCCGGGGGGCGCCGGUGGGGGUGCAGCAAUAGGCAGCGCUUAGGAUUUCUGUUUGCCCAGAAUGAUUUUUGCUUGAUUUGUAGAUCCCCCCAGCUUCCAGGUGUGUAAUAGGCAACUAGAUUCCUUACUUAUAUCAUAGCCGCCUCUCUCAGCCCGGUGCCACCAACCUCAGUACCACACAGGCAUGUUUCAUCUCUGCACUGCCUGCUCCUCUCAGGAACAACACCCCAAGUCCGGCCAAACACAACAACUACACCCAAAAACAAAACAAACAAACAAAAAAGCAAAUUAAACAACAUUUUGGAGGAACAAUUUA
RNA transcript from Xenopus tropicalis (tropical clawed frog), 989 nucleotides. It is a transcript of the gene named SET and MYND domain-containing protein 5-like, with no coding region annotated. Lineage: Eukaryota; Metazoa; Chordata; Amphibia; Anura; Pipidae. The record is from RefSeq and is a predicted model, not a curated record. The transcript has 3 exons.